ACUGAAAGACAUCUUGGUGGCUUUUAAGUUUCAGCAGUUAUGAACAAAGCUGUUAUAAACAUCUGUGUGCAGGUUUUUGUAUGGACAUGUUUUCAACCCUUAUGAGUAAAUACCAAGGAGUAUGACUGCUGGAUCAUAUGCAAUGAGUGAGAAUUCCUGUUAUUCCACAUUCUCGCCAGCAUUUGGUGUUGUCAGUGUUCUGGAUUUGUGUCCUGAUUUUGUUCUGACACUAAACUGUUUUCCCAUGAAAUGUAGAAGAGGACAAGAGAAGAGAUUGAAAAGUAAGCAGGGAUGAUGAGAACCCAGUCCCAAG
This is a long non-coding RNA of Felis catus (domestic cat), 313 nucleotides long. RefSeq lists it as uncharacterized. The transcript is spliced from 3 exons. Lineage: Eukaryota; Metazoa; Chordata; Mammalia; Carnivora; Felidae. The record is from RefSeq and is a predicted model, not a curated record.